UAAUCAGCAGCAGCUGGUGCUUCUGCAGCAGUAGAGUGUAAAAAGCCCAUGUGAUCCCCUAAAAAGAGCCGACCAUCCACACAAGAGGGGGAGGAGGAUGUCAAUUCUUUCUCCUAUUAAAAUCUGGCUUCAGAUAAUUUUGGUACAGGCUUAACCCAUUACUAUUUUCCUCUAAAAGGAAGGCACAAGAAGGCUGGCUACUCCCUGCAAGCAUGGACAUCUCAGAUCAGCUUUACAAAAGAGAUUAAUUCAGUCAGUCUUCAUCAACAAAUCCAUCAAUCAGUCAUGAACUUAACCAGCCAAAGAAAUCAAUUAAGGCAUGGAAGAAGUUAUUAAGACUAACCCAUGAAACUAUAAAGGCGCAUGUCUGUGUACAUGUUUGCAAAAAGAGCAAAGUAAGCAGAACAAUACUCAGUAAUCCCAAUGAUUUGUUUUGUGGAUAUAAGUCCUGACUGCUCAGUCCUUUCUUCUGCUCCUCAGAAACUUCAGGACUGAAGCAGAGUUUGAACAUGGAAAUAUUUGUGAUGUCUAACACUCAGACCCUUCCCCUCUUUCCCAAGAUAAAUAAACCAAUGAAAUAAAAGUAAGAAAUAUCUUA
Molecule: non-coding RNA, 598 nt
Organism: Pogona vitticeps (central bearded dragon)
Lineage: Eukaryota; Metazoa; Chordata; Lepidosauria; Squamata; Agamidae
Source: RefSeq, a predicted model, not a curated record